UCUUCGGAGAGUUUGAUCCUGGCUCAGGAUGAACGCUGGCGGCGUGCCUAAUACAUGCAAGUCGAGCGAACAUCAUAGAAGCUUGCUUCUAUG
This 93-nucleotide ribosomal RNA is filed under the name Priestia flexa. RNAcentral's name for it is "partial 16S ribosomal RNA". It matches the Rfam family "Bacterial small subunit ribosomal RNA", at positions 1 to 90 of the family's 1533-position model. The record is from RNAcentral. Lineage: Bacteria; Bacillati; Bacillota; Bacilli; Caryophanales; Bacillaceae.